AUUCGUUUGGUACCUUCAGCCCUCCACACGUGGAGGGGUUUAUUCCCAAAUAAAAGCAGUUUACAAUCCAUAGGACCUUCUUCCUGCACGCGGCAUGGCUGGUUCAGACUUGCGUCCAUUGACCAAUAUUCCU
This 133-nucleotide ribosomal RNA is filed under the name uncultured bacterium. Its description in RNAcentral is "partial 16S ribosomal RNA". The record is from RNAcentral.